UUGAGACUAGUCAUCGAAAUGGGUACAACGUAAACCCUUUAACGAGGAUCUAUGAGAGGGCAAGUCUGGUGCCAGCAGCCGCGGUAAUUCCAGCUCUCAAGGUGUAUAUCAUUAUUGCUGCGGUUAAAAAGCUCGUAGUUGGAUCUGAGCCUAUGGAUUCAGUUCACCUCUGUGUGAUACUGCUAAUUCUGGGUUAAUUUCGUCGGUUUACCGGCGAGAGUUACUCUGAACAAAUCAGAGUGCUCAACACAAGCGUUUCGCUUGAAUGUUUUUGCAUGGAAUAAUGGAAAAGGACUUCGGUUCCUUGCUGUUGGUUUCGGAAUUGGAUUAAUGAUUAAGAGGGACCAACGGGGGCAUACGUAUCGCUGCGCGAGAGGUGAAAUUCAUGGACCGCAGCGAGACGUCCUACAGCGAAAGCAUUUGCCAAGAAUGUCUUCAUUAAUCAAGAACGAAAGUCAGAGGUUCGAAGGCGAUUAGAUACCGCCGUAGUUCUGACCGUAAACGAUACCAUCUAGCGAACCGAUGGCGGUGUAUCACUGCCUCGUCGGGGAGCUUCCCGGAAACGAAAGACUUCCGGUUCCGGGGGUAGUAUGGUUGCAAAGCUGAAACUUAAAGGAAUUGACGGAAGAGCACCACCAGGAGUGGAGCCUGCGGCUUAAUUUGACUA
This is a ribosomal RNA of 667 nucleotides. It matches the Rfam family "Eukaryotic small subunit ribosomal RNA", at positions 496 to 1201 of the family's 1831-position model.